RNAcentral lists this ribosomal RNA (479 nucleotides) under uncultured bacterium. Its description in RNAcentral is "bacterial SSU rRNA". It matches the Rfam family "Bacterial small subunit ribosomal RNA", at positions 38 to 561 of the family's 1533-position model. The record is from RNAcentral.
GGCGGCGUGCCUAAUACAUGCAAGUCGAACGAAGUCUUCGGACUUAGUGGCGAACGGGUGAGUAACACGUUGGUACCUACCCCUAAGUGGGGAAUAACUGCCCGAAAGGGUGGCUAAUACCGCAUAAUCCCGCAAGGGUAAAGCAGUAAUGCGCUUAGGGAGGGGCCUGCGUCCCAUUAGCUUGUUGGUAGCGUAAUGGACUACCAAGGCGACAAUNGGUAGCUGGAUCGAGAGGUUGACCAGCCACACUGGGACUGAGAUACGGCCCAGACUCCUACGGGAGGCAGCAGUAAGGAAUCUUCCACAAUGGACGAAAGUCUGAUGGAGCAACGCCGCGUGCAGGAUGACNGCCUUCGGGUUGUAAACUGCUUUUAUAUGGGAAGAUUGUGACGGUACCAUAUGAAUAAGGACCGGCUAACUACGUGCCAGCAGCCGCGGUAAUACGUAUGGUCCAAGCGUUAUCCGGAAUCACUGGGCGU